UACGUAGGGGGCAAGCGUUGUCCGGAAUCAUUGGGCGUAAAGCGCGUGUAGGCGGUUCGGUAAGUCGGCUGUGAAAGUCCAGGGCUCAACCCUGGGAUGCCGGUCGAUACUGCCGGACUAGAGUUCGGAAGAGGCGAGUGGAAUUCCCGGUGUAGCGGUGAAAUGCGCAGAUAUCGGGAGGAGCACCAAUGGCGAAGGCAGCUCGCUGGGACGUUACUGACGCUGAGACGCGAAAGCGUGGGGAGCAAACAGG
RNAcentral lists this ribosomal RNA (253 nucleotides) under uncultured bacterium. Its description in RNAcentral is "partial 16S ribosomal RNA". It matches the Rfam family "Bacterial small subunit ribosomal RNA", at positions 524 to 776 of the family's 1533-position model. The record is from RNAcentral.